CCUACGGGUGGCAGCAGUGGGGAAUAUUGGUCAAUGGGGGAAACCCUGAUCCAGCGACGCCGCGUGAGGGAAGAAGUAUUUCGGUACGUAAAGCUCUAUCAGCAGGAGAGAAAAUGACGGUACCUGACUAAGACGCCACGGCUAACUACGUGCAAGCAGCCGCGGUAAUACGUCGGGGGCAAGCGUUAUCCGGAUUUACUGAGUGUAAAGGGGGCGUAGACGGGAGCGAAAGUCUGGAGUGAAAUGCCGGGGCCCAACCCCGGAACUGCUCGGGAAACUGUGAAGCUGGAGUGCAGGAGGGGUAAGCGGAAUUCCUGGUGUAGCGGUGAAAUGCGUAGAGAUCAGGAGGAACACCGGCGGCGAAGGCGGCUUACUGGACUGCAACUGACGUUGAGGCUCGAAGGCGUGGGGAGCAAACAGGAUUAGAUACCCGGGUAGUC
This 440-nucleotide ribosomal RNA is filed under the name uncultured bacterium. RNAcentral describes it as "partial 16S ribosomal RNA". It matches the Rfam family "Bacterial small subunit ribosomal RNA", at positions 338 to 795 of the family's 1533-position model. The record is from RNAcentral.